This 1685-nucleotide long non-coding RNA is filed under the name Equus caballus (horse). RNAcentral's name for it is "lncRNA (ENSECAG00000053719.1)". The record is from RNAcentral. Lineage: Eukaryota; Metazoa; Chordata; Mammalia; Perissodactyla; Equidae.
UUGUGUAUAUUUUUGGUUAUUGCCUUGGCUGUUAUCCACUACCACAAGCAGCUGCAAGAUUAAACAACUGUCUUUAAUUGUGAUUACCAUCUCCUGUGGAAAGUCUCUUCACACUGGGUAAACGUUGAGUCAGAUCAAAUAAAGGCAGGCUUCCUAGUGAAAGUGGGGUUUUUCAGAGCCACCAGAUGGGUCAAAUAACCACAUUUCUCUGGUAGUGAGUAAAGAUGGAGCUCCAACCUAGUUUUGCCACCUCCAGUGGCUGUCAGUUGCUGGUUUUAUUGUAGUUGCAGCUGUUGGAUUAGAGGCAACCACAGUCACAGAGAUGGGUGGAUGGAAAUAAGAUAAAACACCACAAAGCUAUUUGUUCUUAUACAGCUUCAGUCAUUUUUUCCUUGAAAAAAUUUCUCCUGAAUUGCUGCCUACCUUUGGUUAUUCGGGAGCACUGACAAAGUUAAUUCUGACAAUUUUUGCCAAUCUUCUUGUUGGUUUUAUGGAGGAGAAAAUUUUCAAGAGUACUUUGUCAUUUCUGCUGACUCUAUUGGGUCUUUUUUUUUUUUUUCGAGGAAGAUUAGCUCUGAGCUAACUGCUGCCAAUCCUCCUCUUUUUACUGAGGAAGACUGGCCCUGAGCUAACAUCUGUGCCCAUCUUCCUCUACUUUAUAUGUGGGACGCCUACCACAGCAUGGCUUUUGCCAAGCGGUGCCAUGUCCACACCCGGGAUCCGAACCAGCGAACCCCGGGCCAGCAAAGCAGAACAUGCGAACUUAACCUCUGUGCCUCCAGGCUCAGCCACUAUUGGGUCUUAACCCUGGUUUGGACUGUGAACUUUGUCUUCUGUCCUCGACACCCCACGAGAAACACAAAGCUGAAGUUUGCCUGAUAAUACCAAUGCUGUUAAGUUCUGGAAGUCAGAGUCCAAAAUUAGUUCCACUUGGCUGAAAUCAAGAUUGCUGAAAUUAAGAUGACAUGAUCCGAUAUACAGAAAACCCUAAGGAAUCCACAAAGUAACUGUCAAAACUUGUAAAAGGACUUCAGUAACAUUGCAAGACAAAAGAUUGAUAUACAAAACAGGUAUAUAUUUAUUUUGAGGAAGAUUAGCCCUGAGCUAACAUCUGCCACCAAUCUUCCUCUUUUUUUUUGCUGAGGAAGACUGGCCAUGAGCUAAUAUCUGUGCCCAUCCUUCUCUACUUUAUAUGUGGGAUGCCUGCCACAGCAUGGCUUGCCAAGCGGUGCAUAGGUCUGCACCUGGAAUCCGAGCUGGCGAACCCCGAGCCACAGAAGCAGAAUGUGUGACCUUAUCUGCUGUGCCACUGGGCUGGCCCCCAAAACAAGGUAUAUUUUUAUGUAACAACUGUGAACAAUCUGAAAAUGAAAUUAAGGCAACAAUCCCGUUUACAAACAUCAAAAUAAUAAAAUACUUAAGAAUAAAUUUCACAAAAGAAGUUCAGACUUAUACAAUGAAAACUACAAAAUAUCUUUGAACAAAAUUACAAAUGAACUAAAUAAAUGGAAAGACACCUCAAGGUCAUGGAUUGAAAGGCUUAAUAUUAUUAUAAUGGCAUACUGCUCAAAUUGAUUGAUGGGUUCAGUGCAUUCCCUAUCAGAAUCCCAGGUGGCUUUCUUGCAGAAAUUUGACAAACUGAUACUGAAGUUCCUAAGGAAAUGCAAUGGACCCAGAAUAACCAA